This 231-nucleotide unclassified non-coding RNA is filed under the name Hevea brasiliensis (rubber tree). The record is from RNAcentral. Lineage: Eukaryota; Viridiplantae; Streptophyta; Magnoliopsida; Malpighiales; Euphorbiaceae.
GCAAAUGUUCUCAAAGCCACCUUGUCCAAGUCUUGGGCCAAUAGAACUUUCCACAUCACCACCAAGAUGAGCAAUGUUUUCUUAUUCACAUUCGACCAAGAAAUUGACGCUUAAUUUGUGUUCAAGAAUCGACCGUGGUCAGUGCAAAAUCAACAUUUAUCCCUACAAAAGUGGCCACCGGAUAUCGCUUUUGAUGAAAUCAAUUUUAGCCAUUCACCCUUCUGGAUUCAG